RNAcentral lists this ribosomal RNA (427 nucleotides) under uncultured bacterium. RNAcentral's name for it is "partial 16S ribosomal RNA". It matches the Rfam family "Bacterial small subunit ribosomal RNA", at positions 354 to 796 of the family's 1533-position model. The record is from RNAcentral.
GUGGGGAAUAUUGGGCAAUGGGGGAAACCCUGACCCAGCGACGCCGCGUGAGGGAAGACGGCCUUCGGGUUGUAAACCUCUUUUGUACGGGAAGAAGGAAGUGACGGUACUGUACGAAUAAGUCCCGGCUAACUACGUGCCAGCAGCCGCGGUAAUACGUAGGGGACGAGCGUUGUCCGGAAUUACUGGGCGUAAAGGGUGCGUAGGCUGUGCUGCAAGUCAGCUGUGAAAUGUCUGGGCUUAACCCGGGCAUGCGGUUGAGACUGCAGUGCUGGAGUGCUGUAGAGGCAAGUGGAAUUCCCAGUGUAGCGGUGAAAUGCGUAGAUAUUGGGAAGAACACCGGUGGCGAAGGCGACUUGCUGGGCAGCAACUGACGCUGAGGCGCGAAAGCCAGGGGAGCAAACGGGAUUAGAAACCCGUGUAGUCC